This 403-nucleotide ribosomal RNA is filed under the name bacterium. RNAcentral describes it as "partial 16S ribosomal RNA". It matches the Rfam family "Bacterial small subunit ribosomal RNA", at positions 355 to 776 of the family's 1533-position model. The record is from RNAcentral.
UGGGGAAUAUUGCACAAUGGGGGAAACCCUGAUGCAGCGACGCCGCGUGAACAAAGAAGGUAUUCGUAUCGUAAAGUUCUGUCCUAUGGGAAGAUAAUGACAGUACCAUAGAAGAAAGCUCCGGCUAAAUACGUGCCAGCAGCCGCGGUAAUACGUAUGGAGCGAGCGUUGUCCGGAAUUAUUGGGCGUAAAGGGUACGCAGGCGGUUUAAUAAGUCGAAUGUUAAAGAUCGGGGCUCAACCCCGCAAAGCAUUGGAAACUGAUAAACUUGAGUAGUGGAGAGGAAAGUGGAAUUCCUAGUGUAGUGGUGAAAUACGUAGAUAUUAGGAGGAAUACCAGUAGCGAAGGCGACUUUCUGGACACAAACUGACGCUGAGGUACGAAAGCGUGGGGAGCAAACAGG